GACGAACGCUGGCGGCGUGCCUAAUACAUGCAAGUAGAACGCUGAAGAGAGGAGCUUGCUCUUCUUGGAUGAGUUGCGAACGGGUGAGUAACGCGUAGGUAACCUGCCUGGUAGCGGGGGAUAACUAUUGGAAACGAUAGCUAAUACCGCAUAAAAUUGAUUAUUGCAUGAUAAUUAAUUGAAAGAUGCAACUGCAUCACUACCAGAUGGACCUGCGUUGUAUUAGCUAGUUGGUGAGGUAACGGCUCACCAAGGCGACGAUACAUAGCCGACCUGAGAGGGUGAUCGGCCACACUGGGACUGAGACACGGCCCAGACUCCUACGGGAGGCAGCAGUAGGGAAUCUUCGGAAAUGGGGGGAACCCUGACCGAGCAACGCCGCGUGAGUGAAGAAGGUUUUCGGAUCGUAAAGCUCUGUUGUAAGAGAAGAACGGGUGUGAGAGUGGAAAGUUCACACUGUGACGGUAUCUUACCAGAAAGGGACGGCUAACUACGUG
This 497-nucleotide ribosomal RNA is filed under the name uncultured bacterium. RNAcentral's name for it is "partial 16S ribosomal RNA". It matches the Rfam family "Bacterial small subunit ribosomal RNA", at positions 28 to 507 of the family's 1533-position model. The record is from RNAcentral.